Molecule: ribosomal RNA, 576 nt
Filed under: uncultured Pseudomonas sp.
Lineage: Bacteria; Pseudomonadati; Pseudomonadota; Gammaproteobacteria; Pseudomonadales; Pseudomonadaceae
Description: bacterial SSU rRNA
Rfam family: Bacterial small subunit ribosomal RNA
Source: RNAcentral
AACGUUCCGAAAGGAACGCUAAUACCGCAUACGUCCUACGGGAGAAAGCAGGGGACCUUCGGGCCUUCGGCUAUCAGAUGAGCCUAGGUCGGAUUAGCUAGUUGGUGACGUAAGGGGCUCACCAAGGCGACGAUCCGUAACUGGUCUGAGAGGAUGAUCAGUCACACUGGAACUGAGACACGGUCCAGACUCCUACGGGAGGCAGCAGUGGGGAAUAUUGGACAAUGGGCGAAAGCCUGAUCCAGCCAUGCCGCGUGUGUGAAGAAGGUCUUCGGAUUGUAAAGCACUUUAAGUUGGGAGGAAGGGCAGUAAGUUAAUACCUUGCUGUUUUGACGUUACCAACAGAAUAAGCACCGGCUAACUUCGUGCCAGCAGCCGCGGUAAUACGAAGGGUGCAAGCGUUAAUCGGAAUUACUGGGCGUAAAGUGUGUGUAGGUGGUUUUGUAAGUUGGAGGUGAAAUCCCCGGGCUCAACCUGGGAACUGCCUCCAAAACUGCAUGACUAGAGUACGGUAGAGGGUAGUGGAAUUUCCUGUGUAGCGGUGAAAUGCGUAGAUAUAGGAAGGAACACCAGUGA